RNAcentral lists this ribosomal RNA (847 nucleotides) under uncultured bacterium. RNAcentral describes it as "bacterial SSU rRNA". It matches the Rfam family "Bacterial small subunit ribosomal RNA", at positions 8 to 887 of the family's 1533-position model. The record is from RNAcentral.
AGAGUUUGAUCCUGGCUCAGAAUCAACGCUGGCGGCGCGCCUAACACAUGCAAGUCGAACGAGAAAGUGGAGCAAUCCAUGAGUACAGUGGCGUACGGGUGAGUAACACGUGGGUAAUCUACCUUUUAGUGAGGAAUAACCAAGGGAAACUUUGGCUAAUACCGCAUAAGCCUGAGAAGGGAAAGUCGAAAGACGCUGAAAGAGGAGCCCGCGGCCGAUUAGCUAGUUGGUGGGGUAAGAGCCUACCAAGGCAGAGAUCGGUAGCCGGCCUGAGAGGGCACACGGCCACACUGGCACUGAAACACGGGCCUGACUCCUACGGGAGGCAGCAGUGGGGAAUCUUGCACAAUGGGGGAAACCCUGAUGCAGCGACGCCGCGUGAGCGAUGAAGCCCUUCGGGGUGUAAAGCUCUUUCGUCAGGGAAGAUAGUGACGGUACCUGGAGAAGCAGCUGCGGCUAACUACGUGCCAGCAGCCGCGGUAAUACGUAGGCAGCAAGCGUUGUUCGGAGUUACUGGGCGUAAAGGGUGUGUAGGCGGUUCUUUAAGUUUGGUGUGAAAUCUCCCGGCUUAACCGGGAGGGUGCGCCGAAUACUGAGGGACUAGAGUACGGGAGAGGAAAGUGGAAUUCCUGGUGUAGCGGUGAAAUGCGUAGAUAUCAGGAGGAACACCGGUGGUGUAGACGGCUUUCUGGACCGUAACUGACGCUGAGACACGAAAGCGUGGGUAGCAAACAGGAUUAGAUACCCUGGUAGUCCACGCCCUAAACGAUGCUUAUUUUGGUGUGGGCAGUUCAAUCUGUCCGGGCCGGAGCUAACGCGUUAAUUAUGCCGCUUGUGGAGCUCAGUC